GGGGAAUCUUGCGCAAUGGGCGAAAGCCUGACGCAGCAACGCCGCGUGUGUGAUGAAGGCUCUCGGGUCGUAAAGCACUGUCAGGGGGAANAAUUUGACGGUACCCCAAAGGAAGCACCGGCUAACUCCGUGC
This 133-nucleotide ribosomal RNA is filed under the name uncultured bacterium. Its description in RNAcentral is "partial 16S ribosomal RNA". It matches the Rfam family "Bacterial small subunit ribosomal RNA", at positions 356 to 508 of the family's 1533-position model. The record is from RNAcentral.